AAACAUCUCCUAAUACGAAACUCCCCAAUCUCUAGAGGUAGUGACGCUGCGCUUCUAUGAUGGCAGUGAAAUUUCAAUAUUGUUAAUAUGAUGUAGAACACUACGAGUGCUGUACAUUAACGCAGACUGGAACUUGGAUAACUACUUACAGGAGUGUAUCACAAUACACGUCUGGGAGGGAGGGGGUUAAUGAGUACAUGCCUGUAUGGGGCGC
Molecule: non-coding RNA, 214 nt
Organism: Pelobates cultripes (western spadefoot toad)
Lineage: Eukaryota; Metazoa; Chordata; Amphibia; Anura; Pelobatidae
Source: the annotation of a GenBank genome assembly